RNAcentral lists this long non-coding RNA (712 nucleotides) under Heterocephalus glaber (naked mole-rat). RNAcentral's name for it is "lncRNA (ENSHGLG00100044663.1)". Lineage: Eukaryota; Metazoa; Chordata; Mammalia; Rodentia; Bathyergidae. The record is from RNAcentral.
AUGGCCCAGGACUUGCCCCUGGGAUCUGUGGGAUUUGACGGCACCUCCAAGGGGAGAGUGUCAGACUUGAAUAGAAGGUUGUACACCCAGCUUGGGUCAGAGAUUUGGUUGGUGUGAAUAAAACCCCAUAUGCUUGAUGUCAGGCUAAACAUCCUCCCAGACAACUGUCCAGCCAUAUCAACAGUUUCUGCCCACAAAUCUGUGUAGAUCUGUACUUUUGACCAUCUUUCUUUCCUUCCAGGCAAAGUAGACACCCACGUACUACUCUGUUCUCCCAGCAGGAAGAUCUCCCUCCUCCAGGUCCUCAGGGCUCUCUGAGAGGGCCUGGAACUCUUCACCUCCCAACAACCAGGCUUGGGGCUUUUCCUCAGGCAGCUGGUGAGCAAGAUUGUGUCACAGGUCUGGAGGCUGAGAAGUUCAAGAUCAAUGUGCUGCAGAGUCCGGUGAGGCAGCUCUUGGCUUGAAAGAUGGCACCUUGCUGGCACCUCCUCCAGAGGGAACGAAUGCUACAUCUUCACAUGGCGGAAGGAGUUGAUAAAUGUGAGCACCAGAUAAACAUGAUGCCUGGGCUUAUUAUUGAAGAACGGCAACCCUGCGUGAAGUGGCAGUUCUGUGCCAGUCUGCAGCCCUGGAUGGCUUUGCGUUGCUUAAGGAUAAACAGGUUGGAGUUGCAUAUGGUCAACAUUUUUUGUGAAGAGCAGACUGGGUGGAG